UGCUAGCACUGAAGAUUGGCCAGCCUAUAUUUGCAAGAGAAUCUGCACCCAGAUUUAAUGUCCAAAGUUUCCCUGAACUACUUGUGGAUUCUACCAGUGUGAAAACGAAAAACAAAGAACAAAAAGCUCUCCUCCAUCCCAUGGAGCAGGACCAUACAACAAUGCUAUUUAACAAGUCAAUAUGUAUAGCCAGCUUGAUAAAAGGAGAAGUGCUACUUCAGGAAAAUAUUAAUAAUGUCACUGAAGCAAAUUCUAUGCUCCCAAAUGCUUGCUUUCAAUCACUUUUCAACAGUGUUCAAUUGAUCUUCUAUAACAGUGGACAACAUAGGUCUACCAUCUGCUGGGCAGGUGGAGAAAUCGUUGAAGGCGGUGAUACCUGGUAGCCAAAACUUUCCCGCAAAAUCAGAUACUAUGAACAAAAUUUCCACGGAAAAUAAAAUUUUCUUUUGUGAAUAUUUUGCAAAUAAAAGAAAUUUGGAAAAAAAAAUAAUAAUAAAGCGAACUGAUUUUGCUUAGGCGG
This 520-nucleotide unclassified non-coding RNA is filed under the name Hevea brasiliensis (rubber tree). Lineage: Eukaryota; Viridiplantae; Streptophyta; Magnoliopsida; Malpighiales; Euphorbiaceae. The record is from RNAcentral.